RNAcentral lists this ribosomal RNA (253 nucleotides) under uncultured bacterium. Its description in RNAcentral is "partial 16S ribosomal RNA". It matches the Rfam family "Bacterial small subunit ribosomal RNA", at positions 524 to 776 of the family's 1533-position model. The record is from RNAcentral.
GACAGAGGGUGCAAACGUUGUUCGGAAUUACUGGGCGUAAAGAGCGCGCAGGCGGCCGAGUAAGUCGAAUGUGAAAGCCCCCGGCUCAACUGGGGAAGGUCAUUCGAUACUGUUCGGCUCGAAGAUAGGAGAGGGAAGCGGAAUUUCAGGUGUAGUGGUGAAAUGCGUAGAUAUCUGAAGGAACACCAGUGGCGAAGGCGGCUUUCUGGCCUAUUCUUGACGCUGAGGCGCGAAAGCUAGGGGAGCGAACGGG